UAACAAUUGUCCUCUUCCUAACCGAGACCUAUGGGGAGGUUAAACACAGUCUCUCAUAUCCCCGCUAAGGGGUGCGGGGAGCAUAGUAACUCCA
This 94-nucleotide non-coding RNA is filed under the name unclassified sequences. RNAcentral describes it as "PhotoRC-II RNA". It matches the Rfam family "PhotoRC-II RNA". The record is from RNAcentral.